RNAcentral lists this long non-coding RNA (1026 nucleotides) under Salmo trutta (river trout). RNAcentral's name for it is "lncRNA (ENSSTUG00000015152.1)". Lineage: Eukaryota; Metazoa; Chordata; Actinopteri; Salmoniformes; Salmonidae. The record is from RNAcentral.
AUGGCACCCUAUUCCCUACACAGUGCACAACGUUGGACCACGGGACUUGUAGUGCGUUAUGGUGCCAUUUGGAAUGCAUACGUUGACCCAACAGGGCCAUCAUCAUACCCCAUCAUCAGAACAUCAUCAUACCCCAUCAUCAGAACAUCAUCAUACCCCAUCAUCAGAACAUCAUCAUACCCCAUCAUCAGAACAUCAUCAUACCCCAUCAUCAGAACAUCAUCAUACCCCAUCAUCAGAACACCAUCAUACCCCAUCAUCAGAACAUCAUCAUACCCCAUCAUCAUACCCCAUCAUCAGAACACCAUCAUACCCCAUCAUCAGAACACCAUCAGAAUAUUAUCAGAACAUCACCAUACCCCAUCAUCAGAACACCAUCAUACCCCAUCAUCAGAACAUCAUCAUACCCCAUCAUCAUACCCCAUCAUCAGAACACCAUCAUACCCCAUCAUCAGAACACCAUCAGAAUAUUAUCAGAACAUCACCAUACCCCAUCAUCAGAACACCAUCAUACCCCAUCAUCAGAACAUCAUCAUACCCCAUCAUCAUACCCCAUCAUCAGAACACCAUCAUACCCCAUCAUCAGAACACCAUCAGAAUAUUAUCAGAACAUCACCAUACCCCAUCAUCAGAACACCAUCAUACCCCAUCAUCAGAACAUCAUCAUACCCCAUCAUCAGAACACCAUCAGAAUAUUAUCAGAACAUCACCAUACCCCAUCAUCAGAACACCAUCAUACCCCGUCAUCAGAACACCAUCAUACCCCAUCAUCAGAACACCAUCAUACCCCAUCAUCAGAACAUCAUCAGAACAUCAUACCCCAUCAUCAGAACAUUAUCAGAACAUCAUCAUACCCCAUCAUCAGAACAUCAUCAGAACAUUAUCAUACCCCAUCAUCAGAACAUCAUCAUACCCCAUCAUCAGAACAUCAUCAGAACAUCAUACCCCAUCAUCAGAACAUCAUACCCCAUCAUCAGAAUAUUACCAUACCCCAUCAUCAUAACAUCAUCAUACCCCAUCAUCUGA